GAUGAAGAACGUAGCGAAAUGCGAUACUUGGUGUGAAUUGCAGAAUCCCGUGAACCAUCGAGUCUUUGAACGCAAGUUGCGCCCGAAGCCAUCAGGUUGAGGGCACGUCUGCCUGGGCGUCACAUAUCGUUGCCCAAUGCCUAUUGCAGUGCAAUAGGAAUUUCUAGGGCGAAUGAUGGCUUCCCGUGAGCGUUGUUGCCUCGCGGUUGGUUGAAAAUCGAGUCCUUGGUAGGGUGUGCCAUGGUAGAUGGUGGUCGAGUUAGAACGAUACCGAUCAUGUGCAUGCUCCCCAAUAUAUGGCCUCUCUGACCCACACGCGUCUUUUGACGCUCAUGACGAGACCUCAGGUCAGGCGGGGCUACCCGCUGAAUUUAAGCAUAUCAAUAAGCGGAGGA
RNAcentral lists this unclassified non-coding RNA (395 nucleotides) under soil metagenome. Its description in RNAcentral is "partial contains 5.8S ribosomal RNA, internal transcribed spacer 2, and large subunit ribosomal RNA". The stretch from base 1 to 122 matches the Rfam family "5.8S ribosomal RNA", at positions 35 to 154 of the family's 154-position model. The record is from RNAcentral.